Molecule: ribosomal RNA, 309 nt
Filed under: uncultured soil bacterium
Lineage: Bacteria
Description: bacterial SSU rRNA
Rfam family: Bacterial small subunit ribosomal RNA
Source: RNAcentral
AGAUUGAACGCUGGCGGCAGGCCUAACACAUGCAAGUCGAGCGGAUGAGAGGAGCUUGCUCCUUGAUUCAGCGGCGGACGGGUGAGUAAUGCCUAGGAAUCUGCCUAUUAGUGGGGGACAACGUUUCGAAAGGAACGCUAAUACCGCGUACGUCCUACGGGAGAAAGCGGGGACCUUCGGGCCUCGCGCCAUUAGAUGAGCCUAGGUCGGAUUAGCUAGUUGGUGAGGUAAUGGCUCGACCAAGGCGACGAUCCGUAACUGGUCUGAGAGGAUGAUCAGACACACUGGAACUGAGACACGGUCCAGACU